AUUGAACGCUGGCGGCAGGCCUAACACAUGCAAGUCGAGCGGAUAAAGGGAGCUUGCUCCUGGAUUCAGCGGCGGACGGGUGAGUAAUGCCUAGGAAUCUGCCUGGUAGUGGGUGAUAACGUCCGGAAACGGGCGCUAAUACCGCAUACGUCCUGAGGGAGAAAGUGGGGGAUCUUCGGACCUCACGCUAUCAGAUGAGCCUAGGUCGGAUUAGCUAGUUGGUGGGGUAAGGGCCUACCAAGGCGACGAUCCGUAGCUGGACUGAGAGGAUGAUCAGUCACCCUGGAACUGAGACACGCUCCAGAGUACUACGGGAGGCAGCAGUGGGGAAUGGUGGACAGUGGGCGAAAGCCUGAUCCAGCGAGGCCGCGUGUGUGAAGAAGGUCUUGGGAUUGUAAAGAAGUUUAAGUGGGGAGGAAGCGCAGUAGGUUAAGACCUAGCUGUUUUGACGGUACCAACAGAAUAAGCACCGGCUAACUACGUG
This 484-nucleotide ribosomal RNA is filed under the name uncultured bacterium. RNAcentral's name for it is "partial 16S ribosomal RNA". It matches the Rfam family "Bacterial small subunit ribosomal RNA", at positions 30 to 507 of the family's 1533-position model. The record is from RNAcentral.